AUAGUCUUUUGCAGAGAUAUGUUGGCCAUAUACCACAAUUGGAACAGUAUGAAUAUUUUCCGCAAUACCUGUGGUCAUCAGCCUUUAGCCCACACAAUUUAGAAAGUACUCACUAACCUAGAUUAUACAAACUUCAAGAGAAGAAGUAAUGGAAAAAAGGCGGACUUACUGCGACUGCCAAUCAGAGGUUUAUCCAAUCGUUGGACCACUGUUGACCUUGUGUCCCAUCACUGCCAUUGACUGAAAGAUGGGGUGUGGUUAGCAGCAGCAGGAGUCUUCAGCAACAAGACCAGUUGGGUUCUGGACAGGGACCGGUGAGAAACGUUUGGCCAAGUAUUCUUGAGAUGGGGUUCUUUGGCUCAUGUUGUUCUGAGAUGGGGUUCUUUGGCUCAUGUUAUUCUGAGAUGGGGUUCUUUGGCUCAUGUUGUUCUGAGAUGGGGUUCUUUGGCUCAUGUUGUUCUUGGAACCAACAGGACACCAGAGAUAUUAGAGGCACUCUACCUAGGAACCAACAUUAUAUACAAGAUGGCCACUAUCAAUGUAAAUUAGUUAAUGUAAAUGUUUUAGAAAACUUUUUAUUUUAUGUAUGCGUUCUUAACAAUGUGGGAGAUGGUGUGAGUGGAUUUUUCCCAUGUUUUCCUGUUAAAUUCCCACUUGUGAGCUGCCAGUACCUCUUACAGGGACUGAUAAUGAAGUUAUUCUUACAAUAAAUAAUUGUGAUAACCCAGUCGAAAAGGUUAUACAUUAUUUUGAAUGGCUGAGAAUUGUUUCUGUGGUAUUUUGUCAAAUAUAAUGAAUGCAUUAUAAAUAAGAGGUCUAAUGGCUGUCUGCUAAAAUGGGGUACUAAUUCUGGAAUAUAGAAGGAUAAGUAAAGAAUACAUAUAUAUAUUUUUUUUUUACUCUAUUAACAUAAAUUUUUUACUAUAUUCACACUCUAUUAACAUCUAUUUUAACAGGUAUUUGAAUCUUUGAGUCUUUUUUGUGGCAUGCUGACUAGUUUUGCUUGAUGCAGUGACACCUGACCUUCUAACUCUACUACAGUCAGGCUAUUUCCCUAUGCUGACCUGGUGCUGAGUCAUAACCUAGACACAGGCAUACUUCGCGUUAUUGGAACUUUGCGUUAUUGGAACAGAUUCAACUGGAAUUUUCUUUUGAAAAAAGGGAACAAAACAUUUCUGAAUUCAGCCCAAAUAGAUUUUGAUUGGGGGGGGGGGGGGGUUGCUGACUGUUUUCCACCUGAGUCAGAUGAUG
Molecule: long non-coding RNA, 1251 nt
Organism: Esox lucius (northern pike)
Lineage: Eukaryota; Metazoa; Chordata; Actinopteri; Esociformes; Esocidae
Exons: 3
Source: RefSeq, a predicted model, not a curated record